RNAcentral lists this ribosomal RNA (234 nucleotides) under uncultured Lactobacillus sp. RNAcentral's name for it is "partial 16S ribosomal RNA". It matches the Rfam family "Bacterial small subunit ribosomal RNA", at positions 128 to 356 of the family's 1533-position model. Lineage: Bacteria; Bacillati; Bacillota; Bacilli; Lactobacillales; Lactobacillaceae. The record is from RNAcentral.
GCCCAAGAGAUCGGGAUAACACCUGGAAACAGAUGCUAAUACCGGAUAACAACAGAUGAUGCCUAUCAACUGUUUAAAAGAUGGUUCUGCUAUCACUCUUGGAUGGACCUGCGGUGCAUUAGCUAGUUGGUAGGGUAACGGCCUACCAAGGCGAUGAUGCAUAGCCGAGUUGAGAGACUGAUCGGCCACAUUGGGACUGAGACACGGCCCAAACUACUACGGGAGGCAGCAGUG